RNAcentral lists this ribosomal RNA (1918 nucleotides) under Phialocephala fortinii. RNAcentral's name for it is "LSU rRNA". The stretch from base 330 to 1918 matches the Rfam family "Bacterial large subunit ribosomal RNA", at positions 1 to 2014 of the family's 2925-position model. Lineage: Eukaryota; Fungi; Ascomycota; Leotiomycetes; Helotiales; Mollisiaceae. The record is from RNAcentral.
UGUGAAUGAAAGUAGAGCAGCCUAUAAAAAUAUCAGAAUAUAUAUGUGAUGUAUAUAUAGUAAUCUUUUUUAAACAUAAAGUAGUAUUAGAAUAAAUUAUUUGGUUUAAAACCAAACAAAUAUUAGAUUGAUUUUUAUUAUAAUAUUACUAGUAUUAUUAUUACUUGGAUUAUAUCCAUCAAGAAAAGAUAAGAAAUUAGGGGUUCAAAAAACCCCUAGUAACAAAAAUCUUUGGGUUCAGAAAACCCAUAAAAUCGAGAUAUAUAAAAGAAAAUUAUCCACUGAUAUAUUAAAAAAGUAAAACGGGCAAAACCUGUUUGAAUAUAUAGGGGAACCUUCCUCUAAGGCUAAAUAUGAUAUAUGAGCGACAGCGUAUAGUUGUUUGAGAGAAAGGUUUGAAAUAGUAGUCUUAUAAGCAGCUCGAGUGAAAUUUUAUAAAUAAUUAGAGCGUACCUUUUGCAUAAUGGGUCAGCAAGUUAAUAUUAGAUGCGAGCAUGUGUAAAAUGUGCCCAGAUAAACCAAUUAUGAAAUAAUGAAUUAGUAUCUAAAAUUAGACCCGAAGCCUGGUGAUCUUACUACAGUCAGGGUUAUAAAAGCCCGAACGGUUUAUCGUUGUAAAGAUAUCCGAAGAACUGUGGUAAGUUAGUGAAAGACAAAACUGACUAGGAUAGCUGGUUUUCUGCGAAACCUAUAUAAGUAGGUAAUUCAAGUUACAUCAUAGCAGGUACAGAACUGUGAUCUCAGGCAACUUAUAUCUUCUUAUUUUACAUCUCCAAAAUAAAAGGUAAUUUUGCAUAUAUCGGGCAAUCGUGAAGAUUUUAUCGGUGAGUAUUCGCACUCGGAAGGGCAAUGAUGAAUCUUGAAUAAUCGGACAUAGUACGAUAAGGUUGUAUGUCUAAAGGGAAACAGCCCAGAACAAGAGUUAAGGUUCCAAAAUUAUUGUUAAGUGAAAUUAAGGAAGUUUCUAUCUAAUACGACUAGGAAAUAGGCUUAGAAGCGGUCCAUUUUUUGAAGAUCUCGUAACAGAGCACUGGUUUAGUAAUUUAUUUUACAUUGAUAGUUGCACCGAAGAUUUAACGGAUCUAAACAAUAUACCGACACCUUGUCCAUAUUUAUUAAUAAUUUUUAGUUAUUAUAUUUUAUGGGGUAGCAGAACGUUGGGUAAAUCUAAGACUUAUUCUUUUUAAGAAUAAAUAUAUGAUAACCCGAGUGAGAAUGCUGACAUGAGUAACGAAAAAGGGAUAUACCCUCGCCUAAAGCUUAUGGUUUUUGUAAAGUAACGGCCUCUAAGUUUACCAACCUAAAGGAUUAAACGAUGAGCAAAUCUUUGUUAUAAAGUAACAACCUUCUCUUAAAAAUCAAAUAACUAAAGUGGAGAAGGUUCUGGAAAAACAAUAACGGUCGAACCGAAUUAUUUCAAUAAACUAAAAAGAUGAGCAAUAAUUAAUUCUAUUAAAAAAAAAAACAAACAAGCACAAAAUAUAAAAAUUUAUAAAAGCACAAAUAAUAGAUAGACUAGACAAACCGUACCUAAAGACUAACCCAAGUAAGCUAGUAGAGAAUACGAAGGCGUUUGAGCUAACAAUCAUUAAGGAACUCGGCAAACUAACUACCGUAACUUCGGGAUAAGGAGAGCCAUUCCUCCUGACUAAUAUCAGGUAAAGAAUAGGAAGCAUGGAAUAGUGUUGUACGACUGUUUAAUUAAAACAAAGCACUCUGCAGUAAGAUAAUAAAUCAAAGUAUUGAGUGUGAAUUCUGCCCGAUGUCGGCUGGUUAACGGAUUUGCUAAGUUGACUAAUAUAAAUUUGGCUUUGAAGGAAACCCCGAUCAAUGGCGGCCUUAACUAUAAGGGUCCUAAGGUAGCGGAAUACCUUGGCCGUUAAAUGCGGUCUUGCAUGAAUGAUUUAACGAUACAACA